RNAcentral lists this long non-coding RNA (844 nucleotides) under Sphaeramia orbicularis (orbiculate cardinalfish). RNAcentral's name for it is "lncRNA (ENSSORG00005012020.1)". The record is from RNAcentral. Lineage: Eukaryota; Metazoa; Chordata; Actinopteri; Kurtiformes; Apogonidae.
GAGGAAACUCUAGCGUGGAUCUGUGUAGGUGUGGCUGUGGAACCUGUUGAUCCACAUUCUGUCAAACAGUUGGAUUGGGAAAUGUUUGGUUCCUCACAGAAUAGUAUCAGGUGAUCACAUCUGUUCUGAAGACAGUAGAGUGUUUGAGUGAACUCCUUCCAGACUCUUCAGUCCAAAGCUGCUCAGCCUGUUUUCCAUUCCAUUCCAGAAGGUUCUUGGCUGGAAACGGUCCACAGUGGAGCUCAGUGGAAGCGGUCCAGUGACACCUGUGUGCUUCUGAAGCCUGGGUCCCUUCAGUCCCAAGGACGUUCAACUACAACUGUGGACUUUGUGCAGGAAGAUGAAAGUGUUGGUGGUGGUUGGGCUCCUCAUCCACGUUUCCCAGCAUGCACUGGCUGUAGUGGUGCAGGCCUAUGAGGGGAUGGAGUCGGUCCUGCUGCCCUACCAGUAUUCUGGCGGGUUCCCGGACGUUCCCUUUUCAGUGGUUUGGAAACGCUCUGAUCUGAACCAAACAGUUAUUCACCUGCUGAAAUACGACAGUGGUGGCAAACUGAAAGAGGAAUACCGACACAGUAACCGCACGUAUAUGAAGCCCGACGCUCCGCAAUCUGGAAACCUCAGCCUCACUGUGAAGAAACCACAACUGUCUGACAGCAGCAACUACACCUGUAACCUCCAAUGGGAAACACAGAGGGGCGGGCCUAAAGAAGACAGAAUGACACAGAUGACCAGGAGGAGGUGGAGGUCCGGCAGGGGGCGGAGUCUAUCCGUCUGCCUUGUCAAGCUUCAGCCGAUCUGCCUGAAGACACUACAGUGGACUGGACUCACUUUGAUCCAGAACUGA